Molecule: transfer RNA, 66 nt
Filed under: Naegleria gruberi
Lineage: Eukaryota; Heterolobosea; Eutetramitea; Acrasida; Naegleriidae
Description: tRNA-Lys (TTT) (tRNA-Lys-TTT-3-1)
Rfam family: tRNA
About the family: Transfer RNA (tRNA) molecules are approximately 80 nucleotides in length. Their secondary structure includes four short double-helical elements and three loops (D, anti-codon, and T loops).
Source: Rfam by way of RNAcentral
GCCCCGCUAGCUCAGUCGGUAGAGCGUUGGACUUUUAAUCCAAUGGCUCGAGCCCCACGUGGGGCG